GCUCAGAGUGAACGCUGGCGGUAGGCCUAACACAUGCAAGUCGAACGGCAGCACAGUAAGAGCUUGCUCUUAUGGGUGGCGAGUGGCGGACGGGUGAGGAAUACAUCGGAAUCUACCUUUUCGUGGGGGAUAACGUAGGGAAACUUACGCUAAUACCGCAUACGACCUUCGGGUGAAAGCAGGGGACCUUCGGGCCUUGCGCGGAUAGAUGAGCCGAUGUCGGAUUAGCUAGUUGGCGGGGUAAAGGCCCACCAAGGCGACGAUCCGUAGCUGGUCUGAGAGGAUGAUCAGCCACACUGGAACUGAGACACGGUCCAGACUCCUACGGGAGGCAGCAGUGGGGAAUAUUGGACAAUGGGCGCAAGCCUGAUCCAGCCAUACCGCGUGGGUGAAGAAGGCCUUCGGGUUGUAAAGCCCUUUUGUUGGGAAAGAAAAGCAAUCGGCUAAUACCCGGUUGUUCUGACGGUACCCAAAGAAUAAGCACCGGCUAACUUCGUGCCAGCAGCCGCGGUAAUACGAAGGGUGCAAGCGUUACUCGGAAUUACUGGGCGUAAAGCGUGCGUAGGUGGUUGUUUAAGUCUGUUGUGAAAGCCCUGGGCUCAACCUGGGAAUUGCAGUGGAUACUGGGCGACUAGAGUGUGGUAGAGGGUAGUGGAAUUCCCGGUGUAGCAGUGAAAUGCGUAGAGAUCGGGAGGAACAUCCAUGGCGAAGGCAGCUACCUGGACCAA
RNAcentral lists this ribosomal RNA (728 nucleotides) under Stenotrophomonas sp. 110518_136_C_F3. Its description in RNAcentral is "bacterial SSU rRNA". It matches the Rfam family "Bacterial small subunit ribosomal RNA", at positions 22 to 737 of the family's 1533-position model. Lineage: Bacteria; Pseudomonadati; Pseudomonadota; Gammaproteobacteria; Lysobacterales; Lysobacteraceae. The record is from RNAcentral.